RNAcentral lists this ribosomal RNA (253 nucleotides) under uncultured bacterium. RNAcentral describes it as "partial 16S ribosomal RNA". It matches the Rfam family "Bacterial small subunit ribosomal RNA", at positions 524 to 776 of the family's 1533-position model. The record is from RNAcentral.
UACGUAGGGUGCGAGCGUUGUCCGGAAUUACUGGGCGUAAAGGGCUCGUAGGCGGCCAACUAAGUCAUACGUGAAAUCCCUCAGCUUAACUGGGGAACUGCGUGUGAUACUGGAUGGCUUGGAUGUGGGAGAGGGAUGCGGAAUUCCAGGUGUAGCGGUGAAAUGCGUAGAUAUCUGGAGGAACACCGGUGGCGAAGGCGGCAUCCUGGACCAUUAUUGACGCUGAGGAGCGAAAGCCAGGGGAGCAAACGGG